CAGCCGCCACGGGAACACGUAGGGUGCGAGCGUUAAUCGGAAUUACUGGGCGUAAAGCGUGCGCAGGCGGUUUUGUAAGACAGGCGUGAAAUCCCCGGGCUCAACCUGGGAAUGGCGCUUGUGACUGCAAAGCUAGAGUGCGGCAGAGGGGGAUGGAAUUCCGCGUGUAGCAGUGAAAUGCGUAGAUAUGCGGAGGAACACCGAUGGCGAAGGCAAUCCCCUGGGCCUGCACUGACGCUCAUGCACGAAAGCGUGGGGAGCAAACAGGACUAGAUACCCCAGUAGUCCCUGUCUCUUAUAC
This 301-nucleotide ribosomal RNA is filed under the name uncultured bacterium. RNAcentral describes it as "partial 16S ribosomal RNA". It matches the Rfam family "Bacterial small subunit ribosomal RNA", at positions 509 to 807 of the family's 1533-position model. The record is from RNAcentral.